RNAcentral lists this unclassified non-coding RNA (238 nucleotides) under Hevea brasiliensis (rubber tree). Lineage: Eukaryota; Viridiplantae; Streptophyta; Magnoliopsida; Malpighiales; Euphorbiaceae. The record is from RNAcentral.
CUCGGACUUCUCCGUAUUCGCAUCAUUCGUGGUGUUAAUCUUGCUGUUCGUGAUGUUCGCAGUAGUGAUCCUUAUGUUGUCAUCAAGAUGGGAAAGCAAAAACUGAAGACAAGGGUGAUAAAGAAGGAUGUUAAUCCUGUAUGGAAUGAAGAUCUAACUCUUUCUAUCAGUGAUCCGAAUCUUCCAAUUAAGCUGACCGUUUACGAUCACGACACAUUUAGCAAGGAUGAUAAAAUGG